CUUUGAUCUCGCAUACUCUCGAUCUCGCUCUUGAUACCUUUUUUCGUAACUAUACUUAUCAUGCUUCCAAGAAUUAUCUCUUCUAAUUUUAUUAGACUCGUGAGAACGAAAAGAAUCAUGCCUAUCUCGUCGACUUGAUACAUCGUCUACGUAUCGGUUAUACCGUGCACCCUUUUGAUCUUCAGAGUCAUCAUAUUUUCGGUAAUCUCUUCUUUCUCUAUUGUAGGAUCGCCUU
Molecule: non-coding RNA, 235 nt
Organism: Schizosaccharomyces pombe (fission yeast)
Lineage: Eukaryota; Fungi; Ascomycota; Schizosaccharomycetes; Schizosaccharomycetales; Schizosaccharomycetaceae
Source: the annotation of a GenBank genome assembly